RNAcentral lists this transfer RNA (91 nucleotides) under Clostridiales bacterium. Its description in RNAcentral is "tRNA-Ser". It matches the Rfam family "tRNA". From Rfam's summary of the family: Transfer RNA (tRNA) molecules are approximately 80 nucleotides in length. Their secondary structure includes four short double-helical elements and three loops (D, anti-codon, and T loops). Lineage: Bacteria; Bacillati; Bacillota; Clostridia; Eubacteriales. RNAcentral also lists the same sequence under 1 other name. The record is from RNAcentral.
GGAGAGGUGUCUGAGUGGUCUAAGGUGCUCGCCUGGAAAGCGGGUGUACGUGAGUAGCGUACCGGGGGUUCGAAUCCCCCCCUCUCCGCCA